AGCACGAGCUUGUCAGAAGAUAUUUAAAAUCAAGGAAGCAAAUUAUGAACACACUCAAUACUGCCUUAAACUAGGUAUUGGAGAGAGGAUAAUUAAAACACCUAGUUUACCAUCUCCCCUUGCCUACAAAAAUAGCAGAUCAUUCAAUCGUUCAACAAACAUUCAACCGUU
Cucurbita maxima (winter squash) is the source of this 171-nucleotide long non-coding RNA. RefSeq lists it as uncharacterized. The transcript has 3 exons. The record is from RefSeq and is a predicted model, not a curated record. NCBI's taxonomy places the organism in Eukaryota, Viridiplantae, Streptophyta, Magnoliopsida, Cucurbitales, Cucurbitaceae.